UGAUACUGCUAUGCCCCUGAUAAGGCAG
RNAcentral lists this non-coding RNA (28 nucleotides) under Mus musculus (house mouse). Lineage: Eukaryota; Metazoa; Chordata; Mammalia; Rodentia; Muridae. The record is from RNAcentral.